RNAcentral lists this ribosomal RNA (292 nucleotides) under uncultured bacterium. Its description in RNAcentral is "partial 16S ribosomal RNA". The record is from RNAcentral. RNAcentral also lists the same sequence under 1 other name.
GGACUACAGGGGUAUCUAAUCCUGUUUGCUCCCCACGCUUUCGCACCUGAGCGUCAGUCUUUGUCCAGGGGGCCGCCUUCGCCACCGGUAUUCCUCCAGAUCUCUACGCAUUUCACCGCUACACCUGGAAUUCUACCCCCCUCUACAAGACUCUAGCCUGCCAGUUUCGAAUGCAGUUCCCAGGUUGAGCCCGGGGAUUUCACAUCCGACUUGACAGACCGCCUGCGUGCGCUUUACGCCCAGUAAUUCCGAUUAACGCUUGCACCCUCCGUAUUACCGCGGCUGCUGGCAC